ACCCCGCCCUCCCCGCACAGGAGGACGGACGGGACGCGGUGCUCUCUGCCCUGACGGCACCGGGUCCCCACUUCAGUCGGCACCACCGGCCGCGCGGACCGCACACCGCUCGGGUACCGGCGCCGACGGCAGCUCCGGGCUGCGGUGCCGGAAGGGCUGAGGGUCCCUUCCCGGCGC
This 177-nucleotide non-coding RNA is filed under the name Streptantibioticus cattleyicolor NRRL 8057 = DSM 46488. RNAcentral's name for it is "Streptomyces cattleya NRRL 8057 Streptomyces sRNA scr5239". It matches the Rfam family "Streptomyces sRNA scr5239". Rfam says of the family: It inhibits agarase DagA expression by direct base pairing to the dagA coding region, and it represses translation of methionine synthase metE (SCO0985) at the 5' end of its open reading frame. Lineage: Bacteria; Bacillati; Actinomycetota; Actinomycetes; Kitasatosporales; Streptomycetaceae. The record is from Rfam by way of RNAcentral.